AUUGAACGCUGGCGGCAGGCCUAACACAUGCAAGUCGAACGAGUGGCGGACGGGUGAGUAAUGUAUGGGAAUCUGCCUGAUGGAGGGGGAUAACUACUGGAAACGGUGGCUAAUACCGCAUACCAUCGGAUGAGCCCAAGUGGGAUUAGCUAGUUGGUGGGGUAAAGGCUCACCAAGCCGACGAUCUCUAGCUGGUCUGAGAGGAUGACCAGCCACACUGGGACUGAGACACGGCCCAGACUCCUACGGGAGGCAGCAGUGGGGAAUAUUGCGCAAUGGGGGCAAGCCUGACGCAGCCAUGCCGCGUGAAUGAAGAAGGCCUUCGGGUUGUAAAGUACUUUCGGUAGGGAGGCGUUACCUGCAGAAGAAGCACCGGCUAACUCCGUGCCAGCAGCCGCGGUAAUAC
RNAcentral lists this ribosomal RNA (406 nucleotides) under uncultured bacterium. Its description in RNAcentral is "partial 16S ribosomal RNA". It matches the Rfam family "Bacterial small subunit ribosomal RNA", at positions 30 to 526 of the family's 1533-position model. The record is from RNAcentral.